GUGGGGAAUUUUGGACAAUGGGCGCAAGCCUGAUCCAGCAAUGCCGCGUUCAGGAAGAAGGCCUUCGGGUUGUAAACUGCUUUUGUACGGAACGAAACGGCUCUGGUUAAUACCCGGGGCUAAUGACGGUACCGUAAGAAUAAGCACCGGCUAACUACGUGCCAGCAGCCGCGGUAAUACGUAGGGUGCAAGCGUUAAUCGGAAUUACUGGGCGUAAAGCGUGCGCAGGCGGUUUUGUAAGACAGGCGUGAAAUCCCCGGGCUCAACCUGGGAAUGGCGCUUGUGACUGCAAAGCUGGAGUGCGGCAGAGGGGGAUGGAAUUCCGCGUGUAACAGUGAAAUGCGUAGAUAUGCGGAGGAACACCGAUGGCGAAGGCAAUCCCCUGGGCCUGCACUGACGCUCAUGCACGAAAGCGUGGGGAGCAAACAGGAUUAGAAACCCUGGUAGUCC
RNAcentral lists this ribosomal RNA (450 nucleotides) under uncultured bacterium. Its description in RNAcentral is "partial 16S ribosomal RNA". It matches the Rfam family "Bacterial small subunit ribosomal RNA", at positions 354 to 796 of the family's 1533-position model. The record is from RNAcentral.